RNAcentral lists this ribosomal RNA (477 nucleotides) under uncultured bacterium. RNAcentral's name for it is "partial 16S ribosomal RNA". It matches the Rfam family "Bacterial small subunit ribosomal RNA", at positions 28 to 506 of the family's 1533-position model. The record is from RNAcentral.
GAUGAACGCUGGCGGCGUGCUUAACACAUGCAAGUCGAACGGGAAACCUUUUAUUGAAGCUUCGGCAGAUUUAGCUGGUUUCUAGUGGCGGACGGGUGAGUAACGCGUGGGUAACCUGCCUUAUACAGGGGGAUAACAGUCAGAAAUGGCUGCUAAUACCGCAUAAGCGCACAGAGCUGCAUGGCUCAGUGUGAAAAACUCCGGUGGUAUAAGAUGGACCCGCGUUGGAUUAGCUGGUUGGUGGGGUAACGGCCCACCAAGGCGACGAUCCAUAGCCGGCCUGAGAGGGUGAACGGCCACAUUGGGACUGAGACACGGCCCAGACUCCUACGGGAGGCAGCAGUGGGGAAUAUUGCACAAUGGGGGAAACCCUGAUGCAGCGACGCCGCGUGAAGGAAGAAGUAUCUCGGUAUGUAAACUUCUAUCAGCAGGGAAGAUAAUGACGGUACCUGACUAAGAAGCCCCGGCUAACUACGU